UCGCCUAUUUCCCAGGACUGUGGGCCUGAUAGUAUCACCGGUGGAAAUCAAAUAGUGGCCAGAAGCCGAGGAGUCCCCGGCAAAUCCGUGUGCCGAUUGGGGUGAACCCAUUGGAAGUCUGUGCGGUUCCUCCGCCCUCCCGGCUGCGUGUCCGGAACGUUCCCGGCUGUCAGGUGGGUGGCGGCGAGCCUGGGCGGGCAAGCCCUGCGGGGCAGCGUGGCGCGCUCGCGGGGUGGAGAGGGAAAGCCCCGCGGAGUGCGGCGCGUCCCACGGCCGGCCGCCGCUCACCUUUGUUGGCCUGUCCUCGCUGCCAGAGAUCGGGCCAAGGAGGUGUGCGGGGAGCGACCCCACAGCUCGCGGCCCUCUCCGGCGCCCGGAGGAACCCGUAGGCAAGCCAGGGACCCUCUCCGGAUCCCUGAACGGCAGCCGGCCCGAGGGAUCAGCAGCCCCUUCCUGAACACAAAGGACCUCUCUGCUGUCCCGCAGGUCCUGCUGUGUCUUCCAAGCACGUGCAACAGGAAGUGUUGGAGAUGUAUCUGCAAACAUAUUGCUACAAGAAAUGUCUGAAGUUUUCCUGCCUAUUUUUCUUCUAGGAUUUUUAUGGUUUCAUGACUUACAUUUAAGUCUUUUAUCCAUUUUGAGUUUGAUUCAGUGAUCUCACUUCUAAGAAUAUAUCCUAAAACCUGGAACCACCAAUCAGAAAGAAGACAUGCACCCCUAUGUUCAUGUCAGCAUUGUUUACAAUAGCUAAGAUCUGGAAACAGCCCAGAUGCCCAUCAGCAGCAUUAUUAAUGGUGGCCAAAACAUAGAAACAACCAGUGUCCUUCGACAGAUGAUUGGAUAAAGGAGAUGUAGUACAUAUAUACAAUGGAACACUACUCAGCCACAAGAAAAGAUGAAUUACUGCCUUUUGCAACAACUGGGGUGGAUCUUGAGACUAUCAAGCUAAGCAAAAUCAGAUGGAAAAAGUCAAGCACCAUGUGAUUUCACUCAUAUGUGGGAUAUAAAACUGAAAGCAACAAAUGAAGAAACAAAAACAACAAAAACUCAUAGACACAGAAAAUAGUGUGAUGGCUACUAGAGAGAAAGGGGUUGGAGGAGGUAGAAGAGGGUUAAGGGGAUCAAACAUAUGGUGAUGAAAAGAGUUUUGACUUUUGGUGGUAAACACACAAUGCAAUAUACAGAGGAUGUAUUAUAGAAUUGUACACUUGGAACCUAUGCCAUUUUAUUAACCAAGGCUACCCCAAUACAUUUAAUUACAAAUUUUUAAAAAAGUAAAAAAAUUCUCAGUUCAUGUUUUCUGCAACUCCUCUGGGUUUUUCUGUUCCUUGCCUGGGAUCUAGGUCCCCCCCCCUCCACC
This is a long non-coding RNA of Myotis daubentonii (Daubenton's bat), 1360 nucleotides long. RefSeq lists it as uncharacterized. Lineage: Eukaryota; Metazoa; Chordata; Mammalia; Chiroptera; Vespertilionidae. The record is from RefSeq and is a predicted model, not a curated record.